CACUUCACUUCAGACACAUCUCGAAACACAGAGUCGUUUGUCUUUUCGUAAUCUCUCAAUCUCCGGCAAACUUUACAUCUCCCCAUCUUCGAUAACUUCUUCAUUAAUGGCCCCGUUUCGUAUCAUCUUUGUUAACCCUUCUUAUAUAAACUUCAUCAUAGAUCGAGGAAAUCUACAUCUCGAAAAACGGCUCGAUUCCUUACUAGGUUUUCUUUACAGCAUCUCAUCGAAAACGUCUCUCUCUACUUCUCCAGUUGCUCAAACCGGAGCAGUGCAUCUCAUAUCAAGUCAAAGCUUUAUUGAACCAGCGCAGAUUUCAACCCAUCAUUGACAAUGUCCUCCUCCGCUGCUAGCCUGCCACUGUUGCUCAAACAGUAGUCUCCUAUCUCUGCCUUGGUCUGACUUCUCAGUUCGUUGUUGGCCGGAUCGUCCGCUUUUAGGAUUCAAGGACCAUCAAAAAGAAUGGUGAAUUCGUGGUUAAGGGAUCUUUGACGAAUGUUUGCAUAUCGGGAAAGCAAGGCUCUGCUUCACAUAAUAAAGCUGCUCACUCCUGGGUUUUAUUUUAGGUGUAAAACCGUGUCUACGUCGGAGUUCAUACGAGUCCUCACUGCUGCAGAUCGGUUUCAUAAAGGUCUGGGGCAGAUUGUUAUUCAAGAAUGAUUAGGAUGUUGACUCGCCUGUAAGAGUGAGGGUUUUACCUUCCAUCUCUGAGUUGUUUCACCUUCCAUCUCUGAGUUGUUUCACUCUCUUAGGCCACCAGAGCAACAAUUCAAGGAAUAGAGGUCAAGCGUGAUUAAGGGAAUGGAAACUUUCUUUGGUUGUUGGGCUGAGGGGAUAGAACUGAUACAGUGGAAAAAAACAUAUUUGGGAAGGAGCAAAGUGUCCGCUGUAUUGUCACUUCUGAAGUCAUUGCAGUCUCAAACCAAACAUGGAGUGUUUGAACCAUAAUAAGGUUAUUUAAGUCUGUGAUGGAUUCUGAAGCAUCUCAAGACUACUGCCUUUUGAGAACACGCUCUACACCAAAGCAAGAAAAAGAGGAAGCGGAUUGCAGAAGUGAAGAUGAAAUCAUAAUAACCUUGAGGACAAGGUUUUUCAAAGGGGGAGUAAUGAUAAGUUUGGUAAUUUGGCUGUCACGAACAAAAUUGUGAAGCCAAAUUAAAUUUGAAGCUUUUAUGCAAAUAACUAGAGUUUUUUUGUUGACGAUAA
This is a long non-coding RNA of Brassica oleracea var. oleracea, 1206 nucleotides long. RefSeq lists it as uncharacterized. The transcript is spliced from 3 exons. The record is from RefSeq and is a predicted model, not a curated record. Lineage: Eukaryota; Viridiplantae; Streptophyta; Magnoliopsida; Brassicales; Brassicaceae.